UACGUAGGGUGCGAGCGUUUGUCCGGAAUUAUUGGGCGUAAAGAGCUCGUAGGCGGUCUGUCGCGUCUGCUGUGAAAUCCCGAGGCUCAACCUCGGGCUUGCAGUGGGUACGGGCAGGCUAGAGUGCGGUAGGGGAGAAUGGAACUCCUGGUGUAGCGGUGGAAUGCGCAGAUAUCAGGAAGAACACCGAUGGCGAAGGCAGUUCUCUGGGCCGUAACUGACGCUGAGGAGCGAAAGCGUGGGGGAGCGAACAGG
Molecule: ribosomal RNA, 255 nt
Filed under: uncultured bacterium
Lineage: Bacteria
Description: partial 16S ribosomal RNA
Rfam family: Bacterial small subunit ribosomal RNA
Source: RNAcentral